GAUGAACGCGGGCGGCGUGCCUAAUACAUGCAAGUCGAGCGAACGGACGAGAAGCUCGCUUCUCUGAUGUUAGCGGCGGACGGGUGAGUAACACGUGGAUAACCUACCUAUAAGACUGGGAGAACUUCGGGAAACCGGAGCUAAUACCGGAUAAUAUUUUGAACCGCAGGGUUCAAAAGUGAAAGACGGUCUUGCUGUCACUUCUAGAUGGAUCCGCGCUGCAUUAGCUAGUUGGUAAGGUAACGGCUUACCAAGGCAACGAUGCAUAGCCGACCUGAGAGGGUGAUCGGCCACUCUGGAACUCAGCCGCGGUCCAGCCUCCCACGGGCGGCCGCAGUAGCGAAUCUUCCGCCAUGGGCGAAAGCCUGACGGUGCACCGCCCCGUGAGUGAUGAUGGUCUUCGGAUCGUAGAACUCUGUUAUUCGGGAAGUACAUAUGUGUACGUAACUGUGCACAGCUUGACGGUACCUACUCAGCAAGCGACGGCUAGCUCCGUG
RNAcentral lists this ribosomal RNA (497 nucleotides) under uncultured bacterium. RNAcentral's name for it is "partial 16S ribosomal RNA". It matches the Rfam family "Bacterial small subunit ribosomal RNA", at positions 28 to 507 of the family's 1533-position model. The record is from RNAcentral.